Lucilia cuprina (Australian sheep blowfly) is the source of this 330-nucleotide long non-coding RNA. RefSeq lists it as uncharacterized. The transcript has 2 exons. NCBI's taxonomy places the organism in Eukaryota, Metazoa, Arthropoda, Insecta, Diptera, Calliphoridae. The record is from RefSeq and is a predicted model, not a curated record.
AAUUAAAUAAAAAAUUCUUGUUAACAUGGCGUACUUUUUGUUUUUGUUAAAUAGCUCUAAUAAUGAAGAAAAAAGAACAAAUUGCACUUUAGAAAAACAUUGCAGAUUUAGAAAAAUAACAAAGAUGACAACCGGAAGAUUUAUAAUGCGGGUUAAGAUGAUGAAGAGAGAAUAGUGAUUGAGAGUGAUUGUAUAUAAAAUCUCGAUUAACAUACAGAAAAACUUGUAAUAAAAAAUGCACACACUCACUCACGUAAACAUUUAAAACAUAUAUAUAAUACUCAAGUAAGAAAUAAAACAACAACAAUAACUAAAAUACAGUUCAACGAA